UACGUAGGGUGCGAGCGUUGUUCGGAAUUACUGGGCGUAAAGAGUGUGUAGGCGGUGCUCUAAGUCUGGUGUGAAAUCUCCCGGCUCAACUGGGAGGGUGCGCCGGAAACUGGAAUGCUAGAGUGUGGGAGAGGUAAGCGGAAUUCCUGGUGUAGCGGUGAAAUGCGUAGAUAUCAGGAGGAACACCUGUGGUGUAGACAGCUUACUGGACCACGACUGACGCUGAGACACGAAAGCGUGGGUAGCAAACAGG
This 253-nucleotide ribosomal RNA is filed under the name uncultured bacterium. RNAcentral's name for it is "partial 16S ribosomal RNA". It matches the Rfam family "Bacterial small subunit ribosomal RNA", at positions 524 to 776 of the family's 1533-position model. The record is from RNAcentral.